RNAcentral lists this transfer RNA (66 nucleotides) under uncultured Treponema sp. It matches the Rfam family "tRNA", at positions 5 to 66 of the family's 71-position model. From Rfam's summary of the family: Transfer RNA (tRNA) molecules are approximately 80 nucleotides in length. Their secondary structure includes four short double-helical elements and three loops (D, anti-codon, and T loops). Further hydrogen bonds mediate the characteristic L-shaped molecular structure. tRNAs have two regions of fundamental functional importance: the anti-codon, which is responsible for specific mRNA codon recognition, and the 3' end, to which the tRNAs corresponding amino acid is attached (by aminoacyl-tRNA synthetases). tRNAs cope with the degeneracy of the genetic code in two manners: having more than one tRNA (with a specific anti-codon) for a particular amino acid; and 'wobble' base-pairing, i.e. permitting non-standard base-pairing at the 3rd anti-codon position. The record is from RNAcentral. Lineage: Bacteria; Pseudomonadati; Spirochaetota; Spirochaetia; Treponematales; Treponemataceae.
CAUUAGCUCAGCGGUUAGAGCAGAGGACUCAUAAUCCUUUGGUCGUAGGUUCAAAUCCGACAUGGC